GACGAACGCUGGCGGCGUGCCUAAUACAUGCAAGUUGAGCGAUGAAGAUUGGUGCUUGCACCAAUUUGAAGAGCAGCGAACGGGUGAGUAACGCGUGGGGAAUCUGCCUCUGAGCGGGGGACAACAUUUGGAAACGAAUGCUAAUACCGCAUAACAACUUUAAACAUAAGUUUUAAGUUUGAAAGAUGCAAUUGCAUCACUCAAAGAUGACCCCGCGUUGUAUUAGCUAGUUGGUGAGGUAAAGGCUCACCAAGGCGAUGAUACAUAGCCGACCUGAGAGGGUGAUCGGCCACAUUGGGACUGAGACACGGCCCAAACUCCUACGGGAGGCAGCAGUAGGGAAUCUUCGGCAAUGGACGAAAGUCUGACCGAGCAACGCCGCGUGAGUGAAGAAGGGUUUCGGAUCGUAAAACUCUGUUGGUAGAGAAGAACGUUGGUGAGAGUGGAAAGCUCAUCAAGUGACGGUAACUACCCAGAAAGGGACGGCUAACUACGUG
This 497-nucleotide ribosomal RNA is filed under the name uncultured bacterium. Its description in RNAcentral is "partial 16S ribosomal RNA". It matches the Rfam family "Bacterial small subunit ribosomal RNA", at positions 28 to 507 of the family's 1533-position model. The record is from RNAcentral.